Molecule: ribosomal RNA, 263 nt
Filed under: uncultured bacterium
Lineage: Bacteria
Description: partial 16S ribosomal RNA
Rfam family: Bacterial small subunit ribosomal RNA
Source: RNAcentral
AUUAACGCUAGCGGCAGGCAUAAUACAUGCAAGUUGAACGGCAGCACAGGUAGCAAUACUGGGUGGCGAGUGGCGCACGGGUGCGUAACACGUAUGCAACCUACCCUAUACAGGCGAAUAACCUUUAGAAAUGAGGGCUAAUACGCCGUAGUAUUACAGAUGGGCAUCUAUUUAUAAUUAAAGAUUUAUCGGUAUAGGAUGGGCAUGCGUCCCAUUAGUUAGUUGGUAAGGUAACGGCUUACCAAGACGAUGAUGGGUAGGGG